UACGUAGGGUGCGAGCGUUGUCCGGAAUUAUUGGGCGUAAAGAGCUCGUAGGCGGUGUGUCACGUCGUUCGUGAAAACCUGCAGCUUAACUGUGGGCGCGCGGUCGAUACGGGCAUCACUGGAGUUCGGCAGGGGAGACUGGAAUUCCUGGUGUAGCGGUGAAAUGCGCAGAUAUCAGGAGGAACACCGGUGGCGAAGGCGGGUCUCUGGGCCGAUACUGACGCUGAGGAGCGAAAGCGUGGGGAGCGAACAGG
RNAcentral lists this ribosomal RNA (254 nucleotides) under uncultured bacterium. Its description in RNAcentral is "partial 16S ribosomal RNA". It matches the Rfam family "Bacterial small subunit ribosomal RNA", at positions 524 to 776 of the family's 1533-position model. The record is from RNAcentral.